Molecule: unclassified non-coding RNA, 243 nt
Filed under: Hevea brasiliensis (rubber tree)
Lineage: Eukaryota; Viridiplantae; Streptophyta; Magnoliopsida; Malpighiales; Euphorbiaceae
Source: RNAcentral
AGAUUAGCAAAAAGCUUGAUCACACCAUAUCUCUUAAUCAGAAUCCUAAUCCAACCAAAUCAAGAAUAGUUGGAGAAAAACUCAUCCCUAAUACUAAUCAAUAAUAGGGUUUUGGUCAAGGUUUUUAAGUUGAUGGGAUGGCUUAAGAUUAGGCAAAGAUGCGCAAAUUCUUAUGCAAUCUCUCUCCAGUUGAGCACAAAAAGGUCUUUAAUUAAGGUGGGUCAAAAAAAGUGAUCACAUCUU